GACGAACGCUGGCGGCGUGCUUAACACAUGCAAGUCGAGCGGUAAGGCCCUUUCGGGGGUACACGAGCGGCGAACGGGUGAGUAACACGUGAGUAAUCUGCCCUUCACUCUGGGAUAGCCCUCCGAAAGGGGGAUUAAUACCGGAUACGACCAUGGUACGCAUGUGCUUGUGGUGGAAAGGUUUUCUGGUGGGGGAUGUGCUCGCGGCCUAUCAGCUUGUUGGUGGGGGUAAU
Molecule: ribosomal RNA, 233 nt
Filed under: uncultured bacterium
Lineage: Bacteria
Description: partial 16S ribosomal RNA
Rfam family: Bacterial small subunit ribosomal RNA
Source: RNAcentral